This is a small nuclear RNA of Pelodiscus sinensis (Chinese soft-shelled turtle), 195 nucleotides long. Its record names the gene U2. It matches the Rfam family "U2 spliceosomal RNA". Rfam says of the family: U2 is a small nuclear RNA (snRNA) component of the spliceosome (involved in pre-mRNA splicing). Complementary binding between U2 snRNA (in an area lying towards the 5' end but 3' to hairpin I) and the branchpoint sequence (BPS) of the intron results the bulging out of an unpaired adenosine, on the BPS, which initiates a nucleophilic attack at the intronic 5' splice site, thus starting the first of two transesterification reactions that mediate splicing. Lineage: Eukaryota; Metazoa; Chordata; Testudines; Trionychidae. The record is from Ensembl.
GUCCCUGCCUGGAAGCGUCGAACAUGCUCCCGGUCAAAUAAUAUCUGUUCUUAUCUGUUUAAUAUCUGAUAUGAUCUCUAUCUGAGAUCUUUAUAUUAAAUGGAUUUUUGGAAUAGGGGGUCUGAACAGGAGCUUGCUCCGUCUACUCCACCAUCGACCUGGUAUUGCAGUACUUUCCGGAGCGGUGCACCUCCC